UCCUUAGUCUCUCAACGGUAGAGCGGUCGGCUGUUAACUAAUUCAUCGUAGGUUCAAAUCCUACUUGAGGAG
Molecule: transfer RNA, 72 nt
Organism: Gossypium raimondii (Peruvian cotton)
Lineage: Eukaryota; Viridiplantae; Streptophyta; Magnoliopsida; Malvales; Malvaceae
Rfam family: tRNA
About the family: Transfer RNA (tRNA) molecules are approximately 80 nucleotides in length. Their secondary structure includes four short double-helical elements and three loops (D, anti-codon, and T loops). Further hydrogen bonds mediate the characteristic L-shaped molecular structure. tRNAs have two regions of fundamental functional importance: the anti-codon, which is responsible for specific mRNA codon recognition, and the 3' end, to which the tRNAs corresponding amino acid is attached (by aminoacyl-tRNA synthetases). tRNAs cope with the degeneracy of the genetic code in two manners: having more than one tRNA (with a specific anti-codon) for a particular amino acid; and 'wobble' base-pairing, i.e. permitting non-standard base-pairing at the 3rd anti-codon position.
Source: Rfam